RNAcentral lists this RNase P RNA (385 nucleotides) under Salinarchaeum sp. Harcht-Bsk1. RNAcentral describes it as "Archaeal RNase P". It matches the Rfam family "Archaeal RNase P". From Rfam's summary of the family: Ribonuclease P (RNase P) is a ubiquitous endoribonuclease, found in archaea, bacteria and eukarya as well as chloroplasts and mitochondria. Its best characterised activity is the generation of mature 5'-ends of tRNAs by cleaving the 5'-leader elements of precursor-tRNAs. Cellular RNase Ps are ribonucleoproteins. The record is from Rfam by way of RNAcentral. Lineage: Archaea; Methanobacteriati; Methanobacteriota; Halobacteria; Halobacteriales; Natronoarchaeaceae.
GGUAGAGAGAGCCCGGCUCCCGCGCGUCACAGCCGUGACCGUGAGGAAAGUCCCCCCACCGAUCGGGCGGGCGACCGGGGGCAACCCCGGGGCGGGAGACCGCCGGCGCUGGAACAGACACGACACGUCUCCGCGCGACCGAUGAGGUGCGCGCCUCCGAAGCGAGCAAGUCGCGGUGCGUCCGUGGGGUGACCCGCGGGCGGCCGUCGGCGAUUCAAGCGACGGACUGCUGACCCACCGAGGGGCGACCGCGGAGGACCGAUGGAACGGCGAACCCUCGCCGGUGCAAGUCGACGGCCCGAUGGUAGCCCGAUCUCCCGCGAGGGCGGUCGUCGACGCCGAGCCGAAUGCCGGACGAACAGAAGGGGGCUUACUCCUCUCUGCC